RNAcentral lists this ribosomal RNA (274 nucleotides) under uncultured bacterium. Its description in RNAcentral is "partial 16S ribosomal RNA". It matches the Rfam family "Bacterial small subunit ribosomal RNA", at positions 523 to 796 of the family's 1533-position model. The record is from RNAcentral.
AUACGGAGGGUGCAAGCGUUAUCCGGAAUCAUUGGGUUUAAAGGGUCCGCGGGCGGAUUAAUAAGUCAGUGGUGAAAUCCUCUCGCUCAACGAGAGAACUGCCAUUGAAACUGUUAGUCUUGAAUUCGGUCGAAGUAGGCGGAAUGUGUCAUGUAGCGGUGAAAUGCAUAGAUAUGACACAGAACACCGAUAGCGAAGGCAGCUUACUAGACCUGGAUUGACGCUCAUGGACGAAAGCGUGGGGAGCGAACAGGAUUAGAUACCCUGGUAGUCC